UUUCCGUAGGUGAACCUGCGGAAGGAUCAUUAAAAAUGAAGCCGGGAAACCGGUCCUUCUAACCCUUGAUUAUCUUAAUUUGUUGCUUUGGUGGGCCGCGCAAGCACCGGCUUCGGCUGGAUCGUGCCCGCCAGAGGACACAACUCUGUAUCAAAUGUCGUCUGAGUACUAUAAAAUAGCUAAAACUUUCAACAACGGAUCUCUUGGUUCUG
This 212-nucleotide unclassified non-coding RNA is filed under the name plant metagenome. RNAcentral describes it as "partial contains small subunit ribosomal RNA, internal transcribed spacer 1, and 5.8S ribosomal RNA". The record is from RNAcentral.